GACGUAGGGGGCGAGCGUUGUCCGGAUUCAUUGGGCGUAAAGGGCGAGUAGGUGGCUCGGCAAGUCGGAUGUGAAAACUCCGGCUCAACCUGGAGACGCCAUCCGAUACUGCUGUGGCUAGAGUCCGGUAGGGGCCUGUGGAAUAUCCGGUGUAGCGGUGAAAUGCGCAGAUAUCGGAUGGAACACCAGUAGCGAAGGCGGCAGGCUGGGCCGGAACUGACACUGAGGCGCGAAAGCGUGGGGAGCGAACAGG
RNAcentral lists this unclassified non-coding RNA (253 nucleotides) under uncultured Acidimicrobiia bacterium. RNAcentral's name for it is "contains 16S-23S intergenic spacer region". It matches the Rfam family "Bacterial small subunit ribosomal RNA", at positions 524 to 776 of the family's 1533-position model. Lineage: Bacteria; Bacillati; Actinomycetota; Acidimicrobiia. The record is from RNAcentral.